This 73-nucleotide transfer RNA is filed under the name Gammaproteobacteria bacterium. Its description in RNAcentral is "tRNA-Ala". It matches the Rfam family "tRNA". Rfam says of the family: Transfer RNA (tRNA) molecules are approximately 80 nucleotides in length. The record is from RNAcentral. Lineage: Bacteria; Pseudomonadati; Pseudomonadota; Gammaproteobacteria.
GGGGCCAUAGCUCAGCCGGGAGAGCGCCUGCUUUGCAAGCAGGAGGUCACGGGUUCGAAUCCCGUUGGCUCCA